RNAcentral lists this ribosomal RNA (1006 nucleotides) under uncultured archaeon. Its description in RNAcentral is "bacterial SSU rRNA". It matches the Rfam family "Archaeal small subunit ribosomal RNA", at positions 84 to 1102 of the family's 1478-position model. The record is from RNAcentral.
UACGGCUCAGUAACACGUGGAUAACCUACCCAAGAGUCCGGGAUAACCCCGGGAAACUGGGGAUAAUACCGGAUAGGUCAGACUUGCUGGAAGGCUGUUUGGCUGAAACUUCCGGGGCUUUUGGAUGGGUCUGCGGCUGAUUGGGUUGUUGCCGGUGUAACGUACCGUCAAGCCUGUAAUCAGUACGGGUUGUGGGAGCAAGAGCCCGGAGAUGGAUUCUGAGACACGAAUCCAGGCCCUACGGGGCGCAGCAGGCGCGAAAACUCUACAAUGCAGGCAACUGCGAUAGGGGAACAUCGAGUGAUCCUCAUAUUGGGGGUCUGUCCACCCGCCUAAAAAGCGGGUGUUAGCAAGGGCCGGGCAAGACCGGUGCCAGCCGCCGCGGUAAUACCGGCGGCUCGAGUGGUGGCCGAUAUUAUUGAGUCUAAAGGGUCCGUAGCCGGCUUUGCAAGUCUCUCGGGAAAUCCAGCGGCUUAACCGUUGGUCGUCCGGGGGGUACUACAUUGCUUGGGACUGGGAGAGGUAGGAGGUACUCAGGGGGUAGGAGUGAAAUCCUGUAAUCCUUUGGGGACCACCGGUGGCGAAGGCGUCCUACCAGAACAGGUCCGACGGUGAGGGACGAAAGCUAGGGGCACGAACCGGAUUAGAUACCCGGGUAGUCCUAGCCGUAAACGAUGCUCGCUAGGUGUCACAACAGUCGUGAACUGUUGUGGUGCCGUAGGGAAGCCGUGAAGCGAGCCACUUGGGAAGUACGACCGCAAGGUUGAAACUUAAAGGAAUUGGCGGGGGAGCACCACAACGGGUGGAGCCUGCGGUUUAAUUGGACUCAACGCCGGGAAGCUUACCGGGAUCGACAGUUGUAUGAAGGCCAGGCUGAGACCUUGCCGGACUAUCUGAGAGGAGUGCAUGGCCGCCGUCAGUCGUACGUGAGGCGUCCUGUAAGUCAGCACGAGCGAGACCAUGUCACUGUGCUACACGUCCCGCAGGGAUGGUGAGUACACAGUGA